GAUGAACGCUGGCGGCGUGCCUAAUACAUGCAAGUCGAGCGAACGGACGAGAAGCUUGCUUCUCUGAUGUUAGCGGCGGACGGGUGAGUAACACGUGGAUAACCUACCUAUAAGACUGGGAUAACUUCGGGAAACCGGAGCUAAUACCGGAUAAUAUUUUGAACCGCAUGGUUCAAAAGUGAAAGACGGUCUUGCUGUCACUUAUAGAUGGAUCCGCGCUGCAUUAGCUAGUUGGUAAGGUAACGGCUUACCAAGGCAACGAUGCAUAGCCGACCUGAGAGGGUGAUCGGCCACGCUGGAACUGAGACACGGUCCAGACUCCUACGGGAGGCAGCAGUAGGGAAUCUUCCGCAAUGGGCGAAAGCCUGACGGAGCAACGCCGCGUGAGUGAUGAAGGUCUUCGGAUCGUAAAACUCUGUUAUUAGGGAAGAGCAUAUGUGUAAGUAACUGUGCACAUCUUGACGGUACCUAAUCAGAAAGCCACGGCUAACUACGUG
Molecule: ribosomal RNA, 497 nt
Filed under: uncultured bacterium
Lineage: Bacteria
Description: partial 16S ribosomal RNA
Rfam family: Bacterial small subunit ribosomal RNA
Source: RNAcentral